Molecule: unclassified non-coding RNA, 263 nt
Filed under: plant metagenome
Description: partial contains small subunit ribosomal RNA, internal transcribed spacer 1, and 5.8S ribosomal RNA
Source: RNAcentral
UUUCCGUAGGUGAACCUGCGGAAGGAUCAUUAUUGUAUAACCGAGGUGCGAGGGCUGUCGCUGACCCGAAAGGUCGUGCACGCCCGAGUGCCCUCACACACUCCCAUCUCACCCCUAUGUGCACCACCGCGUGGGUCCCCCUUUGGCUUGUUCGGAGGGGGGCUUACGUUUUCACACAAACUUUGUAUGCAGUGUAGAAUGUAUUUUUUGUUUUUGCGAUCACGCAAUCAAUACAACUUUCAACAACGGAUCUCUUGGCUCUC